This 375-nucleotide RNase P RNA is filed under the name Alphaproteobacteria bacterium. RNAcentral describes it as "RNase P RNA component class A". It matches the Rfam family "Bacterial RNase P class A". Rfam says of the family: Ribonuclease P (RNase P) is a ubiquitous endoribonuclease, found in archaea, bacteria and eukarya as well as chloroplasts and mitochondria. Its best characterised activity is the generation of mature 5'-ends of tRNAs by cleaving the 5'-leader elements of precursor-tRNAs. Cellular RNase Ps are ribonucleoproteins. Lineage: Bacteria; Pseudomonadati; Pseudomonadota; Alphaproteobacteria. The record is from RNAcentral.
GCGGCGGGCCGGAUGGCUGCGCCUCCUUCCAGGGGGCGAGGAAAGUCCGGACUCCAUGAAGCAACGGUGCCGGGUAACGCCCGGGCGGGGAAACCCGACGGAAAGCGCCACAGAGAACAGACCGCCCGGCCUCGGCCGGGUAAGGGUGAAACGGUGGAGUAAGAGCCCACCGCGGGCCUGGCGACAGGUCCGGCACGGCAAGCCCCACCGGGAGCAAUGCCAAAUAGGGGCCUCGCGGGCAUCACGCCCAGGGUCGCUUCAGCCCAGAGGCCCGGGUUGGCAGCACGAGCGAUGCGGCAACGCACCGCCCAGAUGAAUGGCCAUCCAGGGGGCAGGUCCCCCGGACAGAAUCCGGCUUACAGGCCCGCCGCGCCU